RNAcentral lists this ribosomal RNA (253 nucleotides) under uncultured bacterium. RNAcentral's name for it is "partial 16S ribosomal RNA". It matches the Rfam family "Bacterial small subunit ribosomal RNA", at positions 524 to 776 of the family's 1533-position model. The record is from RNAcentral.
UACGUAGGGCGCAAGCGUUAUCCGGAAUUAUUGGGCGUAAAGAGCUCGUAGGCGGUUUGUCGCGUCGGCUGUGAAAACUCAGGGCUCAACCCUGAGCCUGCAGUCGAUACGGGCAGACUAGAGUAUGGCAGGGGAGACUGGAAUUCCUGGUGUAGCGGUGAAAUGCGCAGAUAUCAGGAGGAACACCGGUGGCGAAGGCGGGUCUCUGGGCCAUAACUGACGCUGAGGAGCGAAAGCGUGGGGAGCGAACAGG